GAUGAACGCUGGCGUAUGCCUAACACAGUGCAAGUCGUACGAGAGUUUUUAACNCUAGUGGCGGACGGGUGAGUAACACGUGAGAAUUUGCCUUUAGAGGGGGACAACAAUUGGAAACGAAUGCUAAUACCCCAUAUGCUUUCGAGUGAAAUGGAUUUUAUCCGCCUAGAGAGAAGCUCGCGGCUGAUUAGCUUGUUGGUAAGGUAAGAGCUUACCAAGGCGACGAUCAGUAUCUGGUUUGAGGGGACGAUCAGACACACUGGAACUGAGACACGGUCCAGACUCCUACGGGAGGCAGCAGUGGGGAAUUUUCCGCAAUGGGCGAAAGCCUGACGGAGCAAUACCGCGUGAGGGAAGAAUGCCUAUGGGUUGUAAACCUCUUUUUUCAGGGAGGAAUAAAAUGACGUGUACCUGAAGAAUAAGCAUCGGCUAACUCCGUG
RNAcentral lists this ribosomal RNA (440 nucleotides) under uncultured bacterium. RNAcentral describes it as "bacterial SSU rRNA". It matches the Rfam family "Bacterial small subunit ribosomal RNA", at positions 28 to 507 of the family's 1533-position model. The record is from RNAcentral.